GCAAACCGGGAGAACUGAAACAUCUAAGUACCCCGAGGAAAAGAAAUCAACCGAGAUUUCGUUAGUAGCGGCGAGCGAAAGCGAAAGAGCCUGUUAAUGAUAGCAGCAGAGAUAGAGGAAUAAGCUGGGAAGCUUAGCGACACAGGGUGAUAGCCCCGUACUCGACAUCCAGGCUGUGGUACUAAGUUAACGAGAAGUAGGGCGGGACACGUGAUAUCCUGUUUGAAGAUGGGGGGACCAUCCUCCAAGGCUAAAUACUCCUGAUUGACCGAUAGUGAACCAGUACUGUGAAGGAAAGGCGAAAAGAACCCCGGUGAGGGGAGUGAAAUAGAACCUGAAACCUUGUACGUACAAGCAGUGGGAGCCCUUUAAGGGUGACUGCGUACCUUUUGUAUAAUGGGUCAGCGACUUAUAUUUUGUAGCGAGGUUAACCGAAUAGGGGAGCCGAAGGGAAACCGAGUCUUAACUGGGCGUCUAGUUGCAAGGUAUAGACCCGAAACCCGGUGAUCUAGCCAUGGGCAGGUUGAAGGUUGGGUAACACUAACUGGAGGACCGAACCGACUAAUGUUGAAAAAUUAGCGGAUGACUUGUGGCUGGGGGUGAAAGGCCAAUCAAACCGGGAGAUAGCUGGUUCUCCCCGAAAUCUAUUUAGGUAGAGCCUUGAGCGGACACCUUCGGGGGUAGAGCACUGUUUCGGCUAGGGGUCCAUCCCGGAUUACCAACCCGAUGCAAACUACGAAUACCGAAGAGUGAUACUCAGGAGACACACGGCGGGUGCUAACGUCCGUCGUGGAGAGGGAAACAACCCAGACCGCCAGCUAAGGUCCCAAAGUCUAUAUUAAGUGGGAAACGAAGUGGGAAGGCUUAGACAGCUAGGAUGUUGGCUUAGAAGCAGCCAUCAUUUAAAGAAAGCGUAAUAGCUCACUAGUCGAGUCGGCCUGCGCGGAAGAUGUAACGGGGCUCAAAUAUAGCACCGAAGCUGCGGCAUCAGACGAAAGUCUGUUGGGUAGGGGAGCGUUCUGUAAGCGGAUGAAGGUGGUUCGAGAGGGCUGCUGGACGUAUCAGAAGUGCGAAUGCUGACAUAAGUAACGAUAAAACGGGUGAAAAACCCGUUCGCCGGAAGACCAAGGGUUCCUGUCCAACGUUAAUCGGGGCAGGGUGAGUCGGCCCCUAAGGCGAGGCUGAAAAGCGUAGUCGAUGGGAAACGGGUUAAUAUUCCCGUACUUGGAUAAACUGCGAUGUGGGGACGGAGUAGGUUAGGUUAUCGCACUGUUGGAUAUGUGCGUUUAAGUUGGUAGGUGGGAAGUUUAGGCAAAUCCGGACUUCCUUAACACUGAGAGAUGAUGACGAGGCUCUACGGAGCUGAAGUAACCGAUACCACACUUCCAGGAAAAGCCACUAAGCGAAAGGCUUUACUAAACCGUACUGAAAACCGACACAGGUGGUCAGGUAGAGAAUACUCAGGCGCUUGAGAGAACUCGGGUGAAGGAACUAGGCAAAAUAGCACCGUAACUUCGGGAGAAGGUGCGCCGGCGUAGAUUGUAGUCCCUUGCGGAUGAAGGUUGAACCGGUCGAAGAUACCAGCUGGCUGCAACUGUUUAUUAAAAACACAGCACUCUGCAAACACGAAAGUGGACGUAUAGGGUGUGAUGCCUGCCCGGUGCUGGAAGGUUAAUUGAUGGUGUAAUCGAAAGAGAAGCUCCUGAUCGAAGCCCCAGUAAACGGCGGCCGUAACUAUAACGGUCCUAAGGUAGCGAAAUUCCUUGUCGGGUAAGUUCCGACCUGCACGAAUGGCAUAAUGAUGGCCAGGCUGUCUCCACCCGAGACUCAGUGAAAUUGAAAUCGCCGUGAAGAUGCGGUGUACCCGCGGCUAGACGGAAAGACCCCGUGAACCUUUACUAUAGCUUGACACUGAACAUUGAAUUUUGAUGUGUAGGAUAGGUGGGAGACUUAGAAGUAGUCACGCCAGUGAUUAUGGAGUCGUCCUUGAAAUACCACCCUUUAACGUUUGAUGUUCUAACGAAGAUUGCGGAACGCGGUCUCGGACAGUGUCUGGUGGGUAGUUUGACUGGGGCGGUCUCCUCCCAAAGAGUAACGGAGGAGCACGAAGGUUUGCUAAUCACGGUCGGACAUCGUGAGGUUAGUGCAAUGGUAUAAGCAAGCUUAACUGCGAGACAGACAAGUCGAGCAGGUACGAAAGUAGGUCAUAGUGAUCCGGUGGUUCUGAAUGGAAGGGCCAUCGCUCAACGGAUAAAAGGUACUCCGGGGAUAACAGGCUGAUACCGCCCAAGAGUUCAUAUCGACGGCGGUGUUUGGCACCUCGAUGUCGGCUCAUCACAUCCUGGGGCUGAAGUAGGUCCCAAGGGU
RNAcentral lists this ribosomal RNA (2367 nucleotides) under human metagenome. RNAcentral describes it as "bacterial LSU rRNA". It matches the Rfam family "Bacterial large subunit ribosomal RNA", at positions 179 to 2572 of the family's 2925-position model. The record is from RNAcentral.